This 497-nucleotide ribosomal RNA is filed under the name uncultured bacterium. RNAcentral's name for it is "partial 16S ribosomal RNA". It matches the Rfam family "Bacterial small subunit ribosomal RNA", at positions 28 to 507 of the family's 1533-position model. The record is from RNAcentral.
GAUGAACGCUGGCGGCGUGCCUAAUACAUGCAAGUCGAGCGAACAGACGAGGAGCUUGCUCCUCUGACGUUAGCGGCGGACGGGUGAGUAACACGUGGAUAACCUACCUAUAAGACUGGGAUAACUUCGGGAAACCGGAGCUAAUACCGGAUAAUAUAUUGAACCGCAUGGUUCAAUAGUGAAAGACGGUUUUGCUGUCACUUAUAGAUGGAUCCGCGCCGCAUUAGCUAGUUGGUAAGGUAACGGCUUACCAAGGCAACGAUGCGUAGCCGACCUGAGAGGGUGAUCGGCCACACUGGAACUGAGACACGGUCCAGAAUCCUACGGGAGGCAGCAGUAGGGAAUCUGCCGCAAUGGGCGAAAGCCUGACGGAGCAACGCCGCGUGAGUGAUGAAGGUCUUCGGAUCGUAAAACUCUGUUAUUAGGGAAGAACAAAUGUGUAAGUAACUAUGCACGUCUUGACGGUACCUAAUCAGAAAGCCACGGCUAACUACGUG